GGAGGGGUGCGAGAGCGGCCGAAUCGGCACGAUUGGAAAUCGUGUGACCUUCACGGGUCCGUGGGUUCAAAUCCCACCCUCUCCG
This 85-nucleotide transfer RNA is filed under the name Acidimicrobiales bacterium. Its description in RNAcentral is "tRNA-Ser". It matches the Rfam family "tRNA". Rfam says of the family: Transfer RNA (tRNA) molecules are approximately 80 nucleotides in length. The record is from RNAcentral. RNAcentral also lists the same sequence under 1 other name. Lineage: Bacteria; Bacillati; Actinomycetota; Acidimicrobiia; Acidimicrobiales.